Molecule: non-coding RNA, 75 nt
Organism: Dallia pectoralis (Alaska blackfish)
Lineage: Eukaryota; Metazoa; Chordata; Actinopteri; Esociformes; Umbridae
Source: the annotation of a GenBank genome assembly
AUCUGUUUGGAGUUGUGGUUAGUGCGCUCGGCUGUGGAUCCGGGCGACGCAGGGUUCGAUUCCCCCUACCAGAUG